Molecule: ribosomal RNA, 253 nt
Filed under: uncultured bacterium
Lineage: Bacteria
Description: partial 16S ribosomal RNA
Rfam family: Bacterial small subunit ribosomal RNA
Source: RNAcentral
AACGUAGGACGCAAGCGUUAUCCGGAGUUACUGGGCGUAAAGCGCGGGCAGGCGGCUCGAUGCGUCUGAUGUGAAAUCUCCUCGCUCAACGGGGAGAGGCCAUUGGAAACGGUCGAGCUGGAGGGCAGUAGAGGCAGGCGGAAUUCCGGGUGGAGUGGUGAAAUGCGUAGAGAUCCGGAGGAACACCAGAGGCGAAGGCGGCCUGCUGGGCUGCACCUGACGCUGAGCCGCGAAAGCCAGGGGAGCGAACAGG